Non-coding RNA from Acanthosepion pharaonis, 92 nucleotides. Lineage: Eukaryota; Metazoa; Mollusca; Cephalopoda; Sepiida; Sepiidae. The record is from the annotation of a GenBank genome assembly.
UGAAAAACAUGUUCCCGUACGAUCACCCAAGUUAAACAACGUGGAGCCUCUUCAGUACCUGGAUGGGUGACCGCUUCGGAAUACUUGGUGUU